This is a long non-coding RNA of Alexandromys fortis (reed vole), 270 nucleotides long. RefSeq lists it as uncharacterized. Lineage: Eukaryota; Metazoa; Chordata; Mammalia; Rodentia; Cricetidae. The transcript has 3 exons. The record is from RefSeq and is a predicted model, not a curated record.
AGAAUAUUUUGUGGAACUGUAACAACAUUCAAACAUGGAAUUUGGGGUAGCCCAGAAGUACAGAUUCACAUCCCCUUGAGGCCUAGCUUCUGAGAGACCAGGAGCUGGUGACUUCCCACGGGGAGCUAAGGAGUUAAAGGGCGCAGUUCUCCUUCUGCUUCAAGGUUGAAGUCUUUCCAGUCCUAGUCGCACACUGAUAUGGAUGGAAUGAAGACACCCUGUGCUAGAUGAAAGGGCUAAAAUCAAACAGAAAGGCGGCUUCAAGGCGAC